Molecule: non-coding RNA, 107 nt
Organism: Pelobates cultripes (western spadefoot toad)
Lineage: Eukaryota; Metazoa; Chordata; Amphibia; Anura; Pelobatidae
Source: the annotation of a GenBank genome assembly
CAGUGUCCCCAUUUCUCCCAGUGUCCCCAUGUAUCAGUGUUCCCGGGGACACUGAGCCACUUGGGGACACUGGAAGACAUGGGGACACUGGGAGACAUGGGGGCACU